UCGCGGAUAUUCAUUCAUGUGUCGGACCACAUGUGUACAGGUGAUUUUUGCAUAGCUUUUGUGUAUGGCGGCUGGAGGACCAACUCAGACCUCGCUUGCCUCAGGGUCAGGAGGUCCAAGGGGCCACAAGACCGGGCCGGGAGUUUGUGUAAACCUGGGCCAGGAGUUUAUUUGAUAAAGGUUUCCAGAAUGAUUGGCCACACCUACCUAAAAAGUUCGGAAUUUAACCAUGAGCCCCUUCUGGCCUGGUUCCAUAUUCCAAGGCCCUUCCAUAAUCCAAUUCUUUGUCCCGAACCAUCCAUUGAAGAACAUAGACUGUGCAGAAUAUCAGUUUGUUAUAUUUGCAUCAAAUGAACUAUGGGAGCACUUGAACAAUCAGGAAGUUGUGGAUAUAGUUCAUUGUUCACCUCGGAAUGUAAGAUGAUUUGCCAUACUUCCUCAUAUAUUACUCUUUCCCAGUGUACUAAAAUAUGCUUCCCAUUUUAGUCUUGCCUUAUAUUGUUGAUAUGUAACCCAAAUAGGUUAAACCGAAUGUUGUAUCGAAACAUGUAGUAUUUACUUGUAAAAGAGCAACUGAGAGCCUGGUGGGUCGGGAUGAAGGAAGAAUACCCCUGAGAGCCCAAACUGAGUUCGAAAAUAUAUGCAGAAUAUAUAUUUGCCUCUGCUAUAUACAUAUGUAAUUUUCCAGUCUGUGUUUUCUGCUCCUCUUUGGCGCAAUGUGGAAGAUGUUGGUUUUAAAGGCUAGCAGGGCAGCCAGUGGUGGAGUAAUCAGUCGUUUAUGAGGUCAUGGAGCCCAAGACCGGAUGCAGCAGAAGAAGCAGCGUCGUUGCCGUGCACUAAGAAGGUCAACAGAGUCUGUGAGGCGGAAGAUCCAUAGCAUACAGCGGAUGCGUUGGAUAUGCCAUUCCUCAAUGUGUACCUGGAUUCUCUUUGGGCACCUAAUUUUUGGGCAGGUGUUAUGCUAGCAGCCCGCUUCGCUUUGGUCUUCAGAUUAAGCAAUUCUCUGCAUUCAAGGGAAAUGUCAAUAGCUGCUCUCCAAAGCCAACGUCGGUCUGUAUUCAUCUACUGCGUCAGGUUGGCCACGACGAGGAGACGGACGCGACCGCGUCGUCCCAUCGACCUCCGGGGCCUUUGAUAUCUCAGGGUGUGUGUCAUGUUAUGUUGGGUUUCCUGUGAUUUCGGUGCGGGUAGCUACAUAGCGUCCGUGGGCCAUGCGUGUGACAUGCAUGCUAGGUAAUCUUGACUCCGGUGCAACGGUGCUGGAACCGCCUCUGCUGGUUACGACCGCCGUGGCUAUGCUUGAAGGCAGAAUCACCACGAUGACUGUAGUGGCCGCACUCAGAUCAGAACGGCAGCCAAGGUAUAUGAUCAAGCCUUUACUGUCGUCCUUUGAAUUUGGGAUCACGUGCAUCUGCAAGAGAAAGAGCAUGAGAGCCUAAGAGGGUAGUACCACAUUACGAACAAGUUGUUUUUUAUCCAUGGAAUUGAUCUGAUGCGAAGCUGAUGCCACAUAAAAGGACCAAGGAAUGAACACGAAGCAAAUUAUAACUCUCAGGUUCAUGGUUUAGGAGCAGGAAAGAACACUUCCAAUUGUGUAGAUGGGUCAUCCGUAGCAUUUCUCUAAUUAUCCUUAUAGAGACUGAUUUGGAUUGUUGAAGGAAAGGAUCUCAAUUCUCAAUAGCAAACUGCACUGGGACAUCUUGGACCUAUUCUCCACAUUUCUGAGCUAGAUAUGUUGGUGAGCGGGCAGGCGGCGCUAGACAUGGCAGGGCAAGAGAGCACGAGGGAGAAUGUCAAAGGGCGCAACAUAAAUGAGAGUUCACCGUUAUGCUCAUGUGAUCAGAACCUAGAGCAUGGAUACAAGACCUCCAUCAUCGUCUAUGGACAUCAGAGCAGAGGAGAAGUGAUGAUGGACAUCAGACCAGUGAAGACAGUGAGCAUGGGCUCCUAGACGAUACUUAUCAUAUCAUAUUCUCAGUAUAUAGUCAAAAACUGUAUGCCACAUGUACGUUGUGAAUUACUAUGUUAUUUGAUCAUUGAAUUUAUUUCUAAAAAAAUACUCCC
Long non-coding RNA from Triticum aestivum (bread wheat), 2064 nucleotides. RefSeq lists it as uncharacterized. The transcript is spliced from 7 exons. The record is from RefSeq and is a predicted model, not a curated record. NCBI's taxonomy places the organism in Eukaryota, Viridiplantae, Streptophyta, Magnoliopsida, Poales, Poaceae.